RNAcentral lists this ribosomal RNA (494 nucleotides) under Enterobacter sp. SL22. Its description in RNAcentral is "bacterial SSU rRNA". It matches the Rfam family "Bacterial small subunit ribosomal RNA", at positions 37 to 520 of the family's 1533-position model. The record is from RNAcentral. Lineage: Bacteria; Pseudomonadati; Pseudomonadota; Gammaproteobacteria; Enterobacterales; Enterobacteriaceae.
UGGCGGCAGGCCUAACACAUGCAAGUCGAACGGUAACAGGAAGCAGCUUGCUGCUUUGCUGACGAGUGGCGGACGGGUGAGUAAUGUCUGGGAAACUGCCUGAUGGAGGGGGAUAACUACUGGAAACGGUAGCUAAUACCGCAUAAUGUCGCAAGACCAAAGAGGGGGACCUUCGGGCCUCUUGCCAUCAGAUGUGCCCAGAUGGGAUUAGCUAGUAGGUGGGGUAACGGCUCACCUAGGCGACGAUCCCUAGCUGGUCUGAGAGGAUGACCAGCCACACUGGAACUGAGACACGGUCCAGACUCCUACGGGAGGCAGCAGUGGGGAAUAUUGCACAAUGGGCGCAAGCCUGAUGCAGCCAUGCCGCGUGUAUGAAGAAGGCCUUCGGGUUGUAAAGUACUUUCAGCGGGGAGGAAGGCGAUGCGGUUAAUAACCGCGUUGAUUGACGUUACCCGCAGAAGAAGCACCGGCUAACUCCGUGCCAGCAGCCGCGG